This 500-nucleotide ribosomal RNA is filed under the name uncultured bacterium. RNAcentral's name for it is "partial 16S ribosomal RNA". It matches the Rfam family "Bacterial small subunit ribosomal RNA", at positions 30 to 523 of the family's 1533-position model. The record is from RNAcentral.
AUUGAACGCUGGCGGCAUGCUUUACACAUGCAAGUCGAACGGUAACAGGGUGCUUGCACCGCUGACGAGUGGCGAACGGGUGAGUAAUGCGUCGGAACGUGCCGAGUAGUGGGGGAUAACGCAGCGAAAGUUGUGCUAAUACCGCAUACGUACUGAGGUAGAAAGUGGGGGACCUUCGGGCCUCACGCUAUUCGAGCGGCCGACGUCUGAUUAGCUAGUAGGUGAGGUAAAGGCUCCCCUAGGCGACGAUCAGUAGCGGGUCUGAGAGGAUGAUCCGCCACACUGGGACUGAGACACGGCCCAGACUCCUACGGGAGGCAGCAGUGGGGAAUUUUGGACAAUGGGCGAAAGCCUGAUCCAGCCACGCCGCGUGUCUGAAGAAGGCCUUCGGGUUGUAAAGGACUUUUGUCAGGGAGGAAAUCCCUAGUGCUAAUAACACUGGGGGAUGACAGUACCUGAAGAAUAAGCACCGGCUAACUACGUGCCAGCCGCCGCGGUAA